RNAcentral lists this ribosomal RNA (831 nucleotides) under Orasemorpha eribotes. RNAcentral's name for it is "bacterial SSU rRNA". It matches the Rfam family "Eukaryotic small subunit ribosomal RNA", at positions 1192 to 1812 of the family's 1831-position model. Lineage: Eukaryota; Metazoa; Arthropoda; Insecta; Hymenoptera; Eucharitidae. The record is from RNAcentral.
UGUUUAACUGACAUGAUUGUGGGACGUCCUACCGGUGGACUUAGCUUCUUUCUCUUCGGAGGAGCGGCGGUCCAGCUAAUAUCCCAUCGCGGUGCUUUUCAUCGAGUGUCGAGGUGGGCCGGUACGUUUACUUUGAACAAAUUAGAGUGCUCAAAGCAGGCCAUUCUCGCCUGAAUACUGUGUGCAUGGAAUAAUGGAAUAGGAAACCUCACCAGGCCCGGACACCGGAAGGAUUGACAGAUUGAUAGCUCUUUCUUGAUUCGGUGGGUGGUGGUGCAUGGCCGUUCUUAGUUGGUGGAGCGAUUUGUCUGGUUAAUUCCGAUAACGAACGAGACUCUAGCCUGCUAAAUAGGCGUUACUUCUGGUAUCUCGAAGGCCCUCGGCUUCGGUCGGGCGGUUUUUACUACCGACGUACUAACAAAUCUUCUUAGAGGGACAGGCGGCGUCUAGCCGCACGAGAUUGAGCAAUAACAGGUCUGUAAUGCCCUUAGAUGUUCUGGGCCGCACGCGCGCUACACUGAAGGAAUCAGCGUGUCCUCCCUGACCGAAAGGCCCGGGUAACCCGCUGAACCUCCUUCGUGCUAGGGAUUGGGGCUUGCAAUUAUUCCCCAUGAACGAGGAAUUCCCAGUAAGCGCGAGUCAUAAGCUCGCGUUGAUUACGUCCCUGCCCUUUGUACACACCGCCCGUCGCUACUACCGAUUGAAUGAUUUAGUGAGGUCUUCGGACUGGUGCGCGGUAAUGUAAUUCCUACGUUGCCGAUUGCGCCGGGAAGAUGACCAAACUUGAUCAUUUAGAGGAAGUAAAAGUCGUAAAAAAGUUUCCGUAGGUGA